Pelobates cultripes (western spadefoot toad) is the source of this 173-nucleotide non-coding RNA. Lineage: Eukaryota; Metazoa; Chordata; Amphibia; Anura; Pelobatidae. The record is from the annotation of a GenBank genome assembly.
GCUGACACAUCCCUGACAAUCUCCGGCAGACUCUCCCUCCCAGACUCUCCCUCCCAGACUCUCCUACUUGCUGGACAGCAUCCAUGUUGAAGGCAGCUUCAACAUGGAUGCUGUCCAGGAGGUGGGAGGGUCUGGGAGGGAGGGUCUGCCAGAGAUUGGCAGGGAUGUGUCAG